UGACGAAGAUGAGGCUACCGAACGUUGGAAACAGCGGUUAGGAGCUUACACCCACCCGUGUUUACAUACUAUUGUUGCUUUGGCGGGCCGUGGCCUCCACUGCGGGCUCUGCUCGUGUGUGCCCGCCAGAGGACCAAACUCUGAAUGUUAGUGAUGUCUGAGUACUAUCUAAUAGUUAAAACUUUCAACAACGGAUCUCUUGGUUCUGGCAUCGAUGAAGAACGCAGCGAAAUGCGAUAAGUAAUGUGAAUUGCAGAAUUCAGUGAAUCAUCGAAUCUUUGAACGCACAUUGCGCCCUGUGGUAUUCCGCAGGGCAUGCCUGUUCGAGCGUCAUUUAACCACUCACGCCUAGCGUGGUAUUGGGGCACGCGGUCUCGCGGCCCUCAAAAUUAGUGGCGGCGCCGGUGGGCUCUAAGCGUAGUACAUACUCCCGCUAUAGAGUUCCCCCGGUGGCUCGCCAGAACCCCCAAUUUUUUACAGGUUGACCUCGGAUCAGGUAGGGAUCCGCCGCUGAACUUAAGC
This 522-nucleotide ribosomal RNA is filed under the name Phialocephala fortinii. Its description in RNAcentral is "eukaryotic LSU rRNA". The stretch from base 180 to 333 matches the Rfam family "5.8S ribosomal RNA". The record is from RNAcentral. Lineage: Eukaryota; Fungi; Ascomycota; Leotiomycetes; Helotiales; Mollisiaceae.